UUAAAAAUACUGAUGUGCUACUCUACUCCGCCCAUACACAGACGCUGCAGAAAUUUCAAUUUUCUGCAGAAACUGGCUGAUACUACCAAGAUUUCAUAAAUUGCAACAACGAUCGUGACCAUAUGAUGUUUACUUCUAGAAAAGCAGACAAAGAGUUUCUUUGUCUCUGUCUUCGUGGUAUGUGAGGUGUACACCGAAGAAAUUCCAUCGAAAGCAUGAAUCCUUUGUUGGAGGACCUCCAAGAGGACGCUUUGCGGUGAAAGGCGUCUCAUAUGGAGAAGUCUUUUACUCACCAUCAACAAAGACCGUGUCAAUAAAUGAGUACCUCAGCAGUAGAGCCAGUGGCACCAUUAAGGACAAGAUAAGAAGAUCGCUUGAGAUGUUUUAAUCAUACUUAAAGUUGACCAACGGAUGCACUGGUGGAGAAGAGUCAUCAAAUUGAGAAAUUUGAGGCAGUGGGAGGGGGUAAUUAAAAUUAUGGAGGGUGCAGUGAUAGCAAUAUUAUCACAUUAACUUGCAGAAAGUCUAGCCCUUGACAGAAUCCAUUGGAGGAGGCAGAAAAUUUGAGGUUUUCACCAGUCUACUUUGGACCUCUUGUAAGCAUAUACCUGAAUUGGAAGAUGAUACAACGUUUCGUCCCCUCCAACUAUGCUGAGAGGACUUGGUGCUCCAUGUGCUUCAAUUACAAGAGGGUGUGACAUAUGACCUUUAUAAUUCUGAAGACUUUUCCAGUCUGCUUGGAACUUCCAAAGCAUAUACCUGAAAGGAUGAUGAUUCAGAGUCCCCUGGCACCAACUUCGGUGAGAGAACUUGGAUCAGACACGGCAAAUAUUCUGGGGCAGAAACAGGAACUUUUAAUUCUUCAAGAAUUCUGUCGGCAGGUAGGGAAGUACCAAUAUCAACCCGAGUGUUGGUCUCUUCUUCAAGAGGUAAUAUUUUAUAGGCCAUUGCCCUGUAGAACUUUGUAAAUACUAACGUUGAAUCUCUUUUUUCUUCCCUGGAUGGUUAUGAAAUAUCUACUUGAUCAAAUUGUUAGGUCAAGAGUGGUCGAAGCAGCUGCUUUUGUGCAUGUUGAUAAUGCUAUUUUCAUGCGCCAGCAUAAAAAAUUCAGAAUGAUGAAAUUGUGAGUCUUUCUUUUUUGGACUCCUGUUCAGUUGAAAAUUAGAUAACAUGACAAGGAAGGGUUCUUCUAACUUCUACUCUCCUGUACACCACAGCAAUUUCCAUGAAAUUCCUUAGCACUGGAAGAGUUUAGAGAAAAAAUACUGCCUGCAAUUUUAGUCGUGAAUUUGGACAUCCUAUGCUGACUAUCAAUCCAGUAUUUUCAAGCCGACUUAAAAUAGCAAAGAAUACCAACCGAGUGAGGAGACAAGUAGCCGAAAAGAGCCAAAAAUGCCAAAUCAUUAGGAUACCAUUCUCUGGUUUCGUGGUCCCACUCUCUUGAGCAUCUCCUCAUUUUUCUCAUCCGUGACCCGCAAGAAUUAAUAUAACUCAGUCAAACCAAAUAGCAAGUGAGACAUUAAUUAUAAUUGAAUUUUACUGUUUGUAUUUUUUUAAUUCAUAUAUAAGUAUAUGAUCUACUUGUAUUUUUUUUUAA
Populus nigra (black poplar) is the source of this 1597-nucleotide long non-coding RNA. RefSeq lists it as uncharacterized. The transcript has 7 exons. The record is from RefSeq and is a predicted model, not a curated record. NCBI's taxonomy places the organism in Eukaryota, Viridiplantae, Streptophyta, Magnoliopsida, Malpighiales, Salicaceae.